UACGUAGGGUGCGAGCGUUGUCCGGAAUUAUUGGGCGUAAAGAGCUUGUAGGCGGUCUGUCGCGUCUGCUGUGAAAAUCCGGGGCUCAACCCCGGACUUGCAGUGGGUACGGGCAGACUAGAGUGUGGUAGGGGAGACUGGAAUUCCUGGUGUAGCGGUGAAAUGCGCAGAUAUCCGGAGGAACACCGAUGGCGAAGGCAGGUCUCUGGGCCGAUACUGACGCUGAGGAGCGAAAGCGUGGGGAGCGAACAGG
RNAcentral lists this ribosomal RNA (253 nucleotides) under uncultured bacterium. RNAcentral's name for it is "partial 16S ribosomal RNA". It matches the Rfam family "Bacterial small subunit ribosomal RNA", at positions 524 to 776 of the family's 1533-position model. The record is from RNAcentral.